RNAcentral lists this transfer RNA (75 nucleotides) under Vibrio vulnificus. RNAcentral's name for it is "tRNA-Asn". It matches the Rfam family "tRNA". From Rfam's summary of the family: Transfer RNA (tRNA) molecules are approximately 80 nucleotides in length. Their secondary structure includes four short double-helical elements and three loops (D, anti-codon, and T loops). Further hydrogen bonds mediate the characteristic L-shaped molecular structure. tRNAs have two regions of fundamental functional importance: the anti-codon, which is responsible for specific mRNA codon recognition, and the 3' end, to which the tRNAs corresponding amino acid is attached (by aminoacyl-tRNA synthetases). tRNAs cope with the degeneracy of the genetic code in two manners: having more than one tRNA (with a specific anti-codon) for a particular amino acid; and 'wobble' base-pairing, i.e. permitting non-standard base-pairing at the 3rd anti-codon position. The record is from RNAcentral. Lineage: Bacteria; Pseudomonadati; Pseudomonadota; Gammaproteobacteria; Vibrionales; Vibrionaceae.
UUCCUCCUUAGCUCAGUCGGUAGAGCGACGGACUGUUAAUCCGCAGGUCGCUGGUUCGAGCCCAGCAGGAGNCAG